AUAAUUUUUUGAGAAAAUAACAACAGAAAUAUUAGAGUCUUCAAUUGCUUUCAAGAUCGCUGGCUCGAUCUCUUCCCCUCUUUCAAGUGUAUUGUCUAUAAAAGUGCUAAUGCCUAGACGAUGCAAAUCACCAUAGAGAUGGCCAAUAAAAUUGUUACGUGUAUCUGCACCUCUAAAACUGAGGAACACAUCAUGUUUUACAUGAUACAAAGAAGAAGAAGAAGAAGAAG
RNAcentral lists this unclassified non-coding RNA (230 nucleotides) under Hevea brasiliensis (rubber tree). The record is from RNAcentral. Lineage: Eukaryota; Viridiplantae; Streptophyta; Magnoliopsida; Malpighiales; Euphorbiaceae.